This 375-nucleotide long non-coding RNA is filed under the name Homo sapiens (human). RNAcentral describes it as "HSALNT0309619". Lineage: Eukaryota; Metazoa; Chordata; Mammalia; Primates; Hominidae. The record is from RNAcentral.
GUUUUUGUUCUGUAAGCAAGAAAUUCCUGGUUGGAUUACAUAACAGUUACUGUGUUUUUCCUCUCAUCAGGGCCAUGGAAAGAAGGGUGUUCCCUCUGGAUCCAUCUUGAUCCUGUCAAGAUUCCUAGAAGAAAAGCCUGCAAAAGGCUGUGCUUCCCAGAAGCUUCUCCCUUGGUAUCUCACAUGCAGAUUCCACAGUUCGUUAAAAUUUCUACUUUAAUGUUCCUACUGGCUUAGUCAGUGCUUUCUGCUUCACGUAAACAAAUCUCACUGCCUAUAUCUCCCUGGAGACCCCCAUGUCUCCAGAUUUCAGGAUGGUGGUUUGCCUUGAGACCUCAGUUCUCUGAUGGGUCCAAUAAAAGUUGUUGAUUUUCA